AACACAAUAACUUACUUUAAGCAUUGGGCAUUUGUAGACUCUGUCGCCUUGCCUAUAACCAGUUUUGCACACUUCAAGUUUUACAGGCUUACCACAAAAACAUUUUUCUGGAACCCCCCAAUUUGCAUCGGCAUUCGCCUCUCCACUAUUCCAACUAGCUUCGGAUGUGGAUGGUUGAGAGUAACUAUAGGGCAUCUACAGAACAAAGAAAGAAAGAGAUAUGAAUCAUGAACGCUAUAAACCCUAGAUCUAUUUGAAAUCACGGCGGCUAUAAACCCUAGAUUUAUUUGAAAUCACGGCGGCUAGAAACCCUAGAUCUACUAAUUACGGCGGCUAGAAACCCUUAAGAAACUCAAUAUCAUACCUUGGUUGUUGUUGUUGUCGUCGUCGGCGGCGGAUAAUGGGAACCCUAAUUUCAGUUGUCGUCGGCGAUGUUGGGAAAGGAAGAGAGAAGAACGAGAGAGAGAAAGAACGAGAGAGAGAGAGAAGAGUGAAAUAGAAGAGAGAGAGAGAGAAAGAGAGAUGAACGAGAAUAAAUAGGGAGAAACUUUGUAGUGUGAACGCAAAAAUCGUAGUGUGAACGUAAGUCGUGGGGUCUAUUUUUAAAAAAUAUUAUUUAUUAGAAUAUUCAGAAUACACAUAGUUGUAUGUAUAUGUACAGUUGGCCAGAAUCACAAACAGUUGAACUAUUCUAAAAAUUGUGUCUUUGAAGUUGAAUCUGAAAAUACAACUCAUUUUUUUAGUUGGUCCCAUAAGUUUAAACAUAUUAAUGGAUUUUAAUAAGUUUUGAUAGAAUCAUAUUUAGUAAAUAUCUGUUUUCAUACAUAACGUAUGUACAUUGGACAAUCAUGAACUAUAUAUUCCUUGUUAUACAUAGGUGAUUUAUUAGGAAACCAGUUUAUGAUCAAGUUUAGUAAUAACAAUGUUGUAAUAUCAUAUUUUGGAUUUAUUCAAUGUUUAGUUGUUGAUAAUAGCUGAAAAUAUUGAGAAUUAUUUUAUCAUUUUGUUAACCCUAAAAUAAAGAUACAUAUAUCAGUUGUCUCAGUUGAACUUAAAAG
Molecule: small RNA, 1058 nt
Filed under: Arabidopsis thaliana (thale cress)
Lineage: Eukaryota; Viridiplantae; Streptophyta; Magnoliopsida; Brassicales; Brassicaceae
Description: ATSL273590
Source: RNAcentral